This 73-nucleotide transfer RNA is filed under the name Marmota monax (woodchuck). RNAcentral describes it as "tRNA.Ala". Lineage: Eukaryota; Metazoa; Chordata; Mammalia; Rodentia; Sciuridae. The record is from RNAcentral.
GCUGGGAUUGUGGCUCAGCGGUAGAGCGCCGGCCUAGCACGGGUGGGACCUGGGUUCGAUCCUCAGCACAGCA